AUUGAACGCUGGCGGAAUGCUUUACACAUGCAAGUCGAGCGGCAGCGCGGGGGCAACCCUGGCGGCGAGCGGCGAACGGGUGAGUAAUACAUCGGAACGUACCCAGUCGUGGGGGAUAACACAUCGAAAGAUGUGCUAAUACCGCAUACGACCUGAGGGUGAAAGUGGGGGAUCGCAAGACCUCACGCAGUUGGAGCGGCCGAUGGCGGAUUAGCUAGUUGGUGAGGUAAAGGCUCACCAAGGCGACGAUCCGUAGCUGGUCUGAGAGGACGACCAGCCACACUGGAACUGAGACACGGUCCAGACUCCUACGGGAGGCAGCAGUGGGGAAUUUUGGACAAUGGGGGCAACCCUGAUCCAGCCAUUCCGCGUGAGUGAAGAAGGCCUUCGGGUUGUAAAGCUCUUUCGGCAGGAACGAAACGGUGGAGGCUAAUACCUUUCAUCAAUGACGGUACCUGAAGAAGAAGCACCGGCUAACUACGUGCCAGCAGCCGCGGUAAUACGUAGGGUGCGAGCGUUAAUCGGAAUUACUGGGCGUAAAGCGUGCGCAGGCGGUUAUGUAAGACAGAUGUGAAAUCCCCGGGCUUAACCUGGGAACUGCGUUUGUGACUGCAUAACUCGAGUGUGGCAGAGGGGGGUGGAAUUCCACGUGUAGCAGUGAAAUGCGUAGAGAUGUGGAGGAACACCGAUGGCGAAGGCAGCCCCCUGGGUUAACACUGACGCUCAUGCACGAAAGCGUGGGGAGCAAACAGGAUUAGAUACCCUGGUAGUCCACGCCCUAAACGAUGCGAACUAGGUGUUGGAGAAGGAGACUUCUUUAGUACCGUAGCUAACGCGUGAAGUUCGCCGCCUGGGA
RNAcentral lists this ribosomal RNA (856 nucleotides) under uncultured bacterium. Its description in RNAcentral is "bacterial SSU rRNA". It matches the Rfam family "Bacterial small subunit ribosomal RNA", at positions 28 to 878 of the family's 1533-position model. The record is from RNAcentral.